This 2644-nucleotide long non-coding RNA is filed under the name Triticum aestivum (bread wheat). The record is from RNAcentral. Lineage: Eukaryota; Viridiplantae; Streptophyta; Magnoliopsida; Poales; Poaceae.
CCAGUAAAAUGCCCAUACGAAGUCAAUUUAUUCGAUUAGAGAUAUAGAACCCUAAAAGGGGUAUGGAAGAUAAAAAAAAAUGCCCGGUUUUUCUUUCUGGAAAGACAAUAUUUCUUUCAUCCUUUUGCAUUGAAAUAACAAAUUGAAAUCAAAAUAAAAAAUAAUAUGAUUCAACCUCAGACCCUUUUAAAUGUAGCAGAUAAUAGUGGAGCUCGAAAAUUGAUGUGUAUUCGAGUCAUAGGAGCUNNNNNNNNNNAAAGGGCUCGAAUAGAAAAAUAGAAUCAGACUCAAGUUCCGAAGUAAUUACACAUAAUAGAAAAAUGGACUCAGGUUCAAGUUCCGAAGUAAUUACACAUAUAGAAAUCCAAAAAGAAAUCGAUACGAUCCACGUCAUAAUCCAUAUUGGAUUCCCAAAUUUAUUAAAGAAAAAAGGAGCAAUCGAAGAAUUAGAGAAAGAUCUACAAAAGGAAAUUAACUCUGUAAACCAGAGAUUUAAUAUUUCUAUCGAAAAAGUGAAAGAACCUUAUAGACAGCCUAACAUUCUUGCAGAAUAUAUAGCUUUCCAAUUAAAAAAUAGAGUUUCAUUCCGAAAGGCAAUGAAAAAAGCCAUUGAAUUAACUAAAAAAGCAGAUAUAAGGGGAGUAAAAGUAAAAAUUGCGGGUCGUCUCGGAGGAAAAGAAAUUGCACGCGCCGAAUCUAUUAAAAAGGGUAGACUUCCCCUCCAAACAAUUCACGCUAAAAUUGAUUAUUGCUGCUAUCCAAUUCGGACUAUCUAUGGAGUAUUAGGUGUAAAAAUUUGGAUAUUCGUAGACGAAGAAUAAGUAAUCUUGUCUUUGGAUUCUGUCCAUUGAUAGAAUAAAAAAUGACAAGAGACUUUUUUCCUGAAAUCCCUGCAAAAGAAGAAAUUAUACCUCUUUCUAUAAGAUUUAAUGAAAAUUGAUAAAUCAUUUAAUAUAAUUGCUAUGCUUAGUGUGUGACUCGUUAUUUUUUUCUUUUUUUUAAGAAAAAAACUUAGUAAUUAUAGAAAAUUAACUAAUAACCAACCUAUUGCUUCGUAUUGUCGAGAUCCUAACUAAGAAACAGUCACUAUAUGAAUAAAUACCUCUAUCAUAAAUGAGUAGAUGUGUCAUAUAGUUGUAGCAACUGCAAUUUUUUCUCUAAAAAAGAAAAGGGAUUCUAGGUUGUGAAGCAAAACUAAAGGGAUGUGGAUAAAGGGAGGGAUGAUAGAAAGAAGGAAGAUGAAAUAAAUAAGAUAUAGGAUUCCACUAUGUAUGGUCUAUGAAUUACAUCAUAAAAGGCAAUGUGAUAAAGCAUCAAUAUAAUAAAAAUAAUAGAGAAUUAAAAAUUGUAACUUGAAACAAGAACUACAAAUUUAAAGCAAUAAUAAAGAGCCGCCCGGGUUAAUAAAACUGAGAAAAUUAACUCGGAAAGAAAUUUUUUGGAAGCUCCGUUGCGGGAUUCAGACCUAACCAUUCAAGGAGAAGCAGUGGGAACGACAGAACCUAUGAUUCCAUAGGAUUUUAUUGAAAAGAAUCCUAACACUUCAUUGGGUGGGAUGGCGGAACAAACCAAAAAAAUUGUCUUAUUUGGUAAGUUUAUAAAUUAACAAAUAAGACAGGAAAGAGUAAAUAUUCGCCCGCGAAAUUCUUAUUGAAUUAGAAUACUUUACCGCGAUUCAAUAAGAGUCAAAAUAAGGAUUUUUUUAAGAAGGAUUACAUUAUCUAUAAAUAUAGAAUUUAGAUAAAUAUACACACACAUCUGGAUAUAUUCUAGAUCUUCUUUUUUAACUAUAUAUUAUAUUUUUCUGUUUUAACAAAUUCAAUAUAAAAAAAACCGAACUUUUUCUAUUAUCUAUUAAUGUGUAUCUAUCCGUACCGUAAUAUUUUGGAAUAUUAUGAAUUAGAUAAAUUUACAUGCUUUCUCAUUCCAUUCGCGAGGAGCUGGAUGAGAAGAAACUCUCAUGUCCAGUUUUGCAGUAGAGAUGGAACUAAGAAAGAGAACCAUCGACUAUAACCCCAAAAGAACCAGAUUUCGCAAACAACAUAGAGGAAGAAUGAAAGGAAAAUCCUGCCGAGGCAAUCGUAUUUGUUUUGGUAGAUAUGCUCUUCAAGCACUUGAACCCGCUUGGAUCACGGCGAGACAGAUAGAAGCAGGACGAAGAGCAAUAACACGAUAUGCACGUCGUGGUGGAAAAAUAUGGGUACGUAUAUUUCCCGACAAACCGGUUACACUAAGACCCACGGAAACACGUAUGGGCUCGGGAAAGGGGUCCCCCGAAUAUUGGGUAUCCGUUGUUAAACCUGGUCGUAUACUUUAUGAAAUGGGGGGAGUAUCUGAAACUGUAGCUAGAGCAGCUAUCUCCAUAGCUGCCAGUAAAAUGCCCAUACGAAGUCAAUUUAUUCGAUUAGAGAUAUAGAACCCUAAAAGGGGUAUGGAAGAUAAAAAAAAAUGCCCGGUUUUUCUUUCUGGAAAGACAAUAUUUCUUUCAUCCUUUUGCAUUGAAAUAACAAAUUGAAAUCAAAAUAAAAAAUAAUAUGAUUCAACCUCAGACCCUUUUAAAUGUAGCAGAUAAUAGUGGAGCUCGAAAAUUGAUGUGUAUUCGAGUCAUAGGAGCUACUGGUAAUCAGCGAUAUGCUCGUAUUGG